GGAUGAACGCUAGCGGGAGGCUUAACACAUGCAAGUCGAGGGGUAAAUGGUAGCAAUACUAUGAGACCGGCGGACGGGUGCGUAACGCGUAUGCAACAUACCUUGUGCAGGGGGAUAGCCCGUGGAAACGCGGAUUAAUAUUCCAUAGUCCAGCUAUAUCGCAUGGUAUAGUUGGUAAAGAUUUAUCGGCACAAGUUUGGCAUGCGUCUGAUUAGCUUGUUGGUAGGGUAACGGCCUACCAAGGCAAUGACGGGUAGGGGACCUGAGAGGGUGGCCCCCCACAAUGGAACUGAAACACGGUCCAUACACCUACGGGUGGCAGCAGUAGGGAAUAUUAGUAAUGGGCGGAAGCCUGAACUAGCAACACCGCGUGUGCGAAGAAGGCCUUCGGGUUGUAAAGCACUUUUAGAGAGGAUGAGGAAGGACGGUACUCUCUGAAUAAGUCUCGGCUAACUACGUGCCAGCAGCCGCGGUAACACGUAGGAGGCAAACGUUAUCCGGAUUUACUGGGCGUAAAGCGCAUGUAGGUGGUUCUGUAAGUAGGGCGUGAAAGCUCCCGGCUCAACUGGGAGAGGCCGUUCUAAACUACAGAGCUAGAGGAUGGUAGAGGGAGGUGGAAUUCCGGGUGUAGCGGUGGAAUGCGCAGAUAUCCGGAGGAACACCAGUGGCGAAAGCGGCCUCCUGGUCCAUUCCUGACACUCAGAUGCGAAAGCUAGGGUAGCAAACGGGAUUAGAGACUCCGGUAGUCCUAGCCCUAAACGAUGCAGACUAGGCGUCGGCGGUUUAAUCACCGUCGGUGUCCAAGCUAACGCGAUAAGUCUGCCGCCUGAGGACUACGGCCGCAAGGCUAAAACUUAAAGGAAUUGACGGGUCCCCGCACAAGCAGCGGAGCGUGUGGUUUAAUUCGAUGCUCCGCGAAGAACCUUACCUGGGUUUGACAUAACAGUGGUAGAGAAGUGAAAACGGACCGACCCUUCGGGGAGCUGUUACAGGUGUUGCAUGGCUGUCGUCAGCUCGUGUCGUGAGAUGUUCGGUUAAGUCCGCUAACGAGCGCAACCCGCGCUGUGUGUUACAAGUGUCACACAGUACCGCCGGUAUUAAGUCGGAGGAAGGUGCGGAUGACGUCAAGUCAGCAUGACCUUUAUAUCCAGGGCUACACACACGCUACAAUGGUCAGAACAAUAGGUUGCCAAGCCGCAAGGCGGAGCCAAUCCUCCAAAUCUGGCCUCAGUUCAGAUUGCAGGCUGCAACUCGCCUGCAUGAAGUCGGAGUUGCUAGUAACCGCAGGUCAGCAUACUGCGGUGAAUACGUUCCCGGGGAU
RNAcentral lists this ribosomal RNA (1321 nucleotides) under uncultured bacterium. RNAcentral's name for it is "bacterial SSU rRNA". It matches the Rfam family "Bacterial small subunit ribosomal RNA", at positions 27 to 1381 of the family's 1533-position model. The record is from RNAcentral.